Kogia breviceps (pygmy sperm whale) is the source of this 570-nucleotide non-coding RNA. NCBI's taxonomy places the organism in Eukaryota, Metazoa, Chordata, Mammalia, Artiodactyla, Physeteridae. The record is from RefSeq and is a predicted model, not a curated record.
GUCAAAAGAAGACAAUAGCGACUAAGAAAAACAGGCCAGGCUGACCAGCAGCAGAAAGGCUCUUCCUCACAGGGAGCAGAGCCAUUUAGCUCCAUCUGAGCUCCCUCCUGCCCAUGAGCAGCCGGAGAGGGGAGGGACACAGAAAACCAUGCACGGAUGGGGCUGAGUGCUGUAUGAAGGGAUGCAGACCCCCCCACUCCUGUCCAGAGUUUGGAGAGGCUGCCGAGGAUGCCUGCAGCCUGGGCGUGAGGGAGGUACGAAGACGGCUCAGGAUAUUGUGAGGAAGGAUGUAGAGGAUGCUGUGUGUGCUGUCAAGAUCCCAUUUAGGACUGAAGGGCUUAUUCCUCCAGCUGCCCAAGGCUGGCGCCCUUCUUGGGAGAGCCUUCAACCAAUGACUCAUCAACUCAAGGCUCAACCUUUUCAACCAACUUGCUACAAUUCAGAAGACCACCCAGCCUCAGAGCUUCCUGUGGGGUCAGCAGAGGCCUACAUUGAGAAUUCACCCAGCCCAGCUUCUCCCUCUGUCUAUUUUUUCUUCCCUUCCCUUCCACAGAUGUUGACCCCAAGAAU